AGUGAACGCUGGCGGUAGGCCUAACACAUGCAAGUCGAACGGCAGCACAGUAAGAGCUUGCUCUUACGGGUGGCGAGUGGCGGACGGGUGAGGAAUACAUCGGAAUCUACUUUUUCGUGGGGGAUAACGUAGGGAAACUUACGCUAAUACCGCAUACGACCUACGGGUGAAAGCAGGGGAUCUUCGGACCUUGCGCGAUUGAAUGAGCCGAUGUCGGAUUAGCUAGUUGGCGGGGUAAAGGCCCACCAAGGCGACGAUCCGUAGCUGGUCUGAGAGGAUGAUCGGCCACACUGGAACUGAGACACGGUCCAGGCUCCUACGGGAGGCAGCAGUGGGGAAUAUUGGACAAUGGGCGCAAGCCUGAUCCAGCCAUACCGCGUGGGUGAAGAAGGCCUUCGGGUUGUAAAGCCCUUUUGUUGGGAAAGAAAAGCAGCAGGUUAAUACCCCGCUGUUCUGACGGUACCCAAAGAAUAAGCACCGGCUAACUUCGUG
Molecule: ribosomal RNA, 492 nt
Filed under: uncultured bacterium
Lineage: Bacteria
Description: partial 16S ribosomal RNA
Rfam family: Bacterial small subunit ribosomal RNA
Source: RNAcentral